GGUUAACCUAGAAUCAGAGUCAGAGUAGACUAUUUCAUAUUUUAAGGGGUUUUCUGAUCUACCUGUUGUUUUUGGACCCCGGGAGGAGAACGACUGAUGCAUCACAACAGCCUUGUGUUGUAGAGCUGGUUAGAAAAGCACCUUGGAAUAAAAGGAGCAGAAAACUGGAAACAGAAACAAGAGAAAUGGAGAAGUGCCAGCGAGCAGACAGCUGGGAAAAGCUGCAGGAGGAGAUGGCAAAGAGCAUCCAUGGUGAGCCCAGGGCCAAGGGGGAGCAGGAGGCUCUGGAGAGGCAGGAGAGAAGGAGAGGACCCAGGGGAAAUGGUGGGAGUGAAUCACCGAGGGCCUGAUGGAGGAAGGCACUGACGGCUCCUGCGAGAAGAGCGAUGAACAUGUAUCAGAAGAGAAAAUCAGCUGCUGCUUGGUGCCUUGUCCUUGUUCUCCCGUCUCAUUUGCUGAUGGCUGAUAACACCUUAUCUCCACCAGGGAAGCAACUGGGAAGUUUGCUCCUUCCUCACAAGACUGAGGGUAUAAUUAGAACCACGCACCUGCUCAGUCCUCCGGUGACUUGAGCCUGGAAUCUCCUACAUUAGAACACUUCACUGCUCCCAGAAGGCCCUGUAAGAUCCCAGGGAGGCAGCAGCCAACAGAGGAUAUUCACUAAAGACCAAGCAGCAGAGCAGCACUUUGGUAUUCCCUGAAGACAGAGAAAGGAGAGGAAAUGUCCACUAAGAAUAAGUCUCCCGUGAAAUGUUACAUGUACUCGGCAAACUCCUGAACCCACUGCUGCCACGGAAAACUCUCACUGAUGGGUAGCUCCGAGAACUCACCCUCCAAUUAUGUACCGCAGAGCUACGGAUGUGUUUUUAUUGAGGAGAAUAAAAACCACAAGAAGCGCUCUACAACAGACCACAAAAUGGGUUUGGCACCUGUGUCUGCCCGGAGCCGAAGUUUCGGAGUUGUGUUAUCACGUGGCCCGCUGACCCCAGGAGAGCAGGGCUGACCUUGUCUUACACACAGAAGUCUAUUGCUAUGACUCCCCUGAGAGCACAAACCAGCUGCAAACUGCUGCAAUGAUUAACCCUUAUGUGUUGUAGAUGUAACAUCGAGUCAUGGUAAUAAAGCUUUCACUGCAUAACGGAUCUCUUGCUUUGUAAAUUGUUGCUCUUAUCAGCUGCACUGGAGGAUGUUAUCCCUUUCCUGUGAAGCAUGACUGCUGUGUUGUUCACUGGAAAGGAGACCAGAUCUGUAGACUCGGUGAUAUUUAUUCAAUUGCUUUGAGAACAAUACAGAGAAUAAAUACACUUUGUUUAAGCUAAAAA
This is a long non-coding RNA of Pipra filicauda (Wire-tailed manakin), 1322 nucleotides long. RefSeq lists it as uncharacterized. NCBI's taxonomy places the organism in Eukaryota, Metazoa, Chordata, Aves, Passeriformes, Pipridae. The transcript has 5 exons. The record is from RefSeq and is a predicted model, not a curated record.